RNAcentral lists this long non-coding RNA (1096 nucleotides) under Pogona vitticeps (central bearded dragon). Its description in RNAcentral is "lncRNA (ENSPVIG00000016938.1)". Lineage: Eukaryota; Metazoa; Chordata; Lepidosauria; Squamata; Agamidae. The record is from RNAcentral.
AUGGUCGCCCCGAUGGAGGUCCCAGAGGCGCUCUCCGGUCCGCGGCUCUUGCGCUCCUGUUCCGCCGCCCGCUGCGCGCUGGGGCUGACUGUGUUGUCUCUGGUGGCCUCGCUCACCGCGCUGGUUGUGACGCUGACGAAACAGCCGCUGCUGCCCCGGACGCCUCCGCCGCUGCCCCGAACGCCUCCGCCGCUGCCUCCCGCGCAGCAGAAUUACGCCCAGCUCGUGCUGAAACUUAACACCUCAUCCAUAAACGAGAGGAAGCUGGACUGGUACACCAAUGAAACAAUUCAAGGAGUAUAUCUUGGACAGUCCUUUGAAUAUAGCAACAAGACACUAAAGGUUUCAGUUGGUGGCCUGUAUUGUAUAUAUACCCAGAUUAACUUUACACACAAUUUUGGCAGUACCGCUAAGCAAGAGGCAAUGAAUGCUAGUGUGUUGAUCCAUCGUCAUACUGCCGAUAGUUCUGAUUCUCUCCCUAUUCUGACUCUGCCCCUGGACCUGUCUCACCGUUCAAAGGGAACAAUGCCUUUUAAGGCUGUACUUUAUCGACUGGAAAAGAAUGACAGACUGCAUGUGACAAUAAAGCCAAAUAACAAUGGAAAACAUUAUGGAUCCCUCAGCAGUCGUGACAGCUUCUUUGGAUUGUUCCAGAUUCUUGACACAGUCCCGAGAUGACUAUAAUCUCUCUCUCUCUCUCUCUUUUGCAUUUCUUUUGGAUGCAAUGUUACACCACUGAUCCCUAAAAAGGUGAAUUUUUACGGACGCUGUUACUUGAAAGUAGCAGUGCUUCCAAACUGUGAACUAUGUUAAUGUUUGGGCAGUGGGCACUAGACAUGGUUGUAUUGCAUUCUGAGUCAAUUUUUAUAUUUUUAUAUUUUUUGCGGUACUGGGCUGCUUCUGCCCCAAACCAUGGUAGCCAUUGAGUUGAAGUACAUCAAGCCAACUUUCAGGAUAUCCUGUUGGCACAGAAAAUGUGGACUAUUGAACUCCUUCCCAGUGACAAAUAGACUGAUCUUUCUGAGCCAUUGAGCUUCAGAUGAAUUGCUUGGGCUAGCCCAAUAAAUAUUUUAUGUUUUCAUCUUUUGGAGAGCUG